This 74-nucleotide transfer RNA is filed under the name uncultured Actinomycetes bacterium. RNAcentral's name for it is "uncultured actinobacterium tRNA-Arg". It matches the Rfam family "tRNA". Rfam says of the family: Transfer RNA (tRNA) molecules are approximately 80 nucleotides in length. Their secondary structure includes four short double-helical elements and three loops (D, anti-codon, and T loops). Further hydrogen bonds mediate the characteristic L-shaped molecular structure. tRNAs have two regions of fundamental functional importance: the anti-codon, which is responsible for specific mRNA codon recognition, and the 3' end, to which the tRNAs corresponding amino acid is attached (by aminoacyl-tRNA synthetases). tRNAs cope with the degeneracy of the genetic code in two manners: having more than one tRNA (with a specific anti-codon) for a particular amino acid; and 'wobble' base-pairing, i.e. permitting non-standard base-pairing at the 3rd anti-codon position. RNAcentral also lists the same sequence under 1 other name. The record is from RNAcentral. Lineage: Bacteria; Bacillati; Actinomycetota; Actinomycetes.
GCGCGAGUAGCUCAACGGAUAGAGCAUCUGACUACGGAUCAGAAGGUUGGGGGUUCGAAUCCCUUCUCGCGCAC